AACCUGGUUGAUCCUGCCAGUAGUCAUAUGCUUGUUUCAAGGACUAAGCCAUGCAAGUCUCAGAGUAAAUGGAUCACAGUAGGUCUGCAGACAGCUCAUUAAAUCAGCUACAAUCUACGCCGAGAAACUGCCUUUCGGCAGACUAUUGGAUAACUUUGGUAACCCCAAAGCUAAUACAUGUCAGCAAAACCCGCACAGAUUCAACCUCGGGGCCUCGGUUCUGGGGCUGUGUUGGGUGUAAUUGACCGAAACAAAAACCAACGCUAGCAAUAGCAGCGGUGAUAGGAUGAUUCAGGUCAAUCGAAUAGUAGCGCAUACUUCGGUGGCGCUUGUCGGCAUGAGCAUCUGCCCUAUCAGCUUUUGAUGGUAGUGUAGUGGACUACCAUGGCUGUAACGGGUAACGGGGAAUUAGGGUUCGAUUCCGGAGAGGGAGCCUGAGAAACGGCUACCACAACUAAGGUUGGCAGCAGGCGCGCAAAUUGCCCAAUAGCAACACAUCGCUGAGGCAGCGAAGAGAAAUAGCAACUUCAUGCGGCCCUGCCGUGUGAAGAUUGCCAUGGACGAUAUCUAAACCUGUCGGUGAGUAUCAAUUGGUGGACAAGUCUGGUGCCAGCACCCGCGGUAAUUCCAGCACCAAUAGC
This 641-nucleotide ribosomal RNA is filed under the name uncultured marine eukaryote. RNAcentral describes it as "bacterial SSU rRNA". It matches the Rfam family "Eukaryotic small subunit ribosomal RNA", at positions 1 to 598 of the family's 1831-position model. The record is from RNAcentral.